Non-coding RNA from Rattus norvegicus (Norway rat), 69 nucleotides. The record is from Rfam. Lineage: Eukaryota; Metazoa; Chordata; Mammalia; Rodentia; Muridae.
GGGGAUUUAGCUCAGCGGUAGAGCGCUUGUCUAGCGAGCACAAGGCCCUGGGUUCGGUCCCCAGCUCCG